UUUAAGUGCAACCAUGAGUUUUCGCGCUCAAUUUCGAUCGUCCGUCUUAUUUGAUUUUUUUAUAAUUAGUAUUUUUAUUGUUAUGAGAUGAUAAAACAUGAAUAGUAUUUUACUCGUGACUUAUGUUUUUAAUUUUUUUCAAAAACUUUUCAAAUAAGACGGACGAUCAAAGUUGGGCACGGAAAACCAUGGCUGCACUCAAA
Non-coding RNA from Oryza glumipatula, 203 nucleotides. The record is from Rfam. Lineage: Eukaryota; Viridiplantae; Streptophyta; Magnoliopsida; Poales; Poaceae.